This 253-nucleotide ribosomal RNA is filed under the name uncultured bacterium. RNAcentral's name for it is "partial 16S ribosomal RNA". It matches the Rfam family "Bacterial small subunit ribosomal RNA", at positions 524 to 776 of the family's 1533-position model. The record is from RNAcentral.
UACGUAGGGUGCAAGCGUUGUCCGGAAUUAUUGGGCGUAAAGAGCUCGUAGGCGGCCUGCUAAGUCGAACGUGAAAUCCCCGGGCUCAACCCGGGAACUGCGUCCGAUACUGGUUGGCUUGAAUCCGGGAGAGGGAUGCGGAAUUCCAGGUGUAGCGGUGAAAUGCGUAGAUAUCUGGAGGAACACCGGUGGCGAAGGCGGCAUCCUGGACCGGCAUUGACGCUGAGGCGCGAAAGCCAGGGGAGCAAACGGG